UGCAUUGAUGGGAGUGGGGUAUUAUACUAAACCUGGAAGGAUAAAGAAUGUUAGCAUGGCCCCUAUGGAAUAAUGACACACAAAUUGGUAAAGGAUUCUUAUUUUUA
RNAcentral lists this small nuclear RNA (107 nucleotides) under Mesocricetus auratus (golden hamster). The record is from RNAcentral. Lineage: Eukaryota; Metazoa; Chordata; Mammalia; Rodentia; Cricetidae.